AAAAAAAAAAAAAAAAGAUUAUUCAUGGCCAAUCAUUUGAACAUGCACAGACAUAGUCCUUUAUAAAAAAUAAAAAGAAACAACAAGCAAACACUACAACAAAUACAGGUUUUCAAAGCACUUUUCCAACAACCAGCAUCACCAGACACUUGAUGUUAAAGUUUAUACUAACAUGUUUUAUUGAUGAUAAAAGUUACUAUGUUUACUAAAUAUCAUGUUGCCUUUUUUCCCCCUCUUUUCCAUAUGAUAAUUUUAACUUGUACUUUGUAUCCAUUCAAAAGCAGCCUCACCAGUCUUCAAACUUUUACAUAUGCAAAUGAAAAUGAAUUCAAAAGCCUUUUAAUAACUCUAACUAUCUCUAACACAUUCCGUCAUGGAAAGCCCAUGGUUCUUGAAGCAUGGGCAAGUACAAAACCGCCUCAAUCAAUUAACUAACGAAUACCAUGUCCAGGCCACUCAAACUAAAAAGCUCAAAUCAGAGUCACCUAAUAUACAUUGUAGUCAAAUUUGUUAGAACUUAUACAUUGUCAUGCAUAUAGUUUUACUGGUCUGUCCAUCAGAAUAAAUGCUUUCUUGAACCUUUAUCUAUUGCCACGCUGACCAUUCAUAUAUAGUAUAUGAAAUACGCAUAAGCCAUAACAAAGAAUUUUAUGCAUAUACUUUAAUUUGUUUGUUAAGCUUCAUGUGGUAUCUAGGAUAUCUUGAGGCAGCUAUGUAAUAAGCAGGCAUAUUGCCUAAGUGCACUGACAAAUGUGUUCUUUAUUUUAGUAGGAGAAAUUUCAACGAGUUAAACAGAAUACUAACCAGAAUAUUGUGAUAAGCUGU
Molecule: unclassified non-coding RNA, 825 nt
Filed under: Hevea brasiliensis (rubber tree)
Lineage: Eukaryota; Viridiplantae; Streptophyta; Magnoliopsida; Malpighiales; Euphorbiaceae
Source: RNAcentral